This 759-nucleotide unclassified non-coding RNA is filed under the name Hevea brasiliensis (rubber tree). Lineage: Eukaryota; Viridiplantae; Streptophyta; Magnoliopsida; Malpighiales; Euphorbiaceae. The record is from RNAcentral.
AUAUAUAUAUAUAUAUAUAACAAAUUACUGUUCAAGAUUCACAUGAUGAAAGCUCCUCGAGGAACAUACAGAACCAGCAAUUCAGGAACUUCAACCCAGAAGCCAGAUAUCAGGUACAAGUAAAGGUCGAAAGUUGCUAUAGAACAAAUAAGAUGGAAUCUUCUGAUUCCAAUUCAUAACUCUUAAUAGCUUCCAAGGAAGCAAGAAUUGCACAUUCAUUAUCAAUAUUUGAAUUGUCAGAAAAUGUUUACAUCAAGCCAAUGGCCAAAAAAAAAAACUUUUUCAUCCUGAAACUUCCCAAUGAAGUGUUGCAACAUUUAAAUUUGAAGAAUAAUUAAAAAUUUGUGGAUUCCUAAUAAUUCCAAAAGCUAUUAAUUAAUAUAUUAUAACCAAUAUCACAAAUUGCCAAGUGAGAUAGACAUCCCAAACUACUUCACAGACGAUCAUUUCAAGAGACUUUUGAGUCACCCAACAGAGCAAAAAUUAAAAAUAAAAAACUCACUCGCACGAAGAAGGGGCGGAGGAGGAGGUUCAGCAUGGACUUGGACUUGAAGAGGGAACGGCGUGUUCUGGGUAAUUUUAUUGGUAAUAUUAGUGAAAAAUCGCGGUUGCCAUAGCUCCCCAACGGCCACAAGCUGAACCAAACCAGUCCAUAGCAGAAUACUGGAGCAAACCCUUAUAAACCAAACUUGUAGGCGAGUUCUAGCGAUCACUGGAGUCGUCCCCGACCCAACCUUCUCGCACCUCACUGGUAAACCC